RNAcentral lists this ribosomal RNA (206 nucleotides) under uncultured bacterium. Its description in RNAcentral is "partial 16S ribosomal RNA". It matches the Rfam family "Bacterial small subunit ribosomal RNA", at positions 568 to 774 of the family's 1533-position model. The record is from RNAcentral.
CGUGUAGGCUGACCGGAAAGUCGGGCGUGAAAUCCCUGAGCUCAACUCAGGAACUGCACUCGAAACUCCCGGUCUAGAGUGGUGGAGAGGGAAGUGGAAUUCCUGGUGUAGAGGUGAAAUUCGUAGAUAUCAGGAGGAACACCAGUGGCGAAGGCGGCUUCCUGGACACCAACUGACGCUGAGACGCGAAAGCGUGGGAGCAAACA